RNAcentral lists this unclassified non-coding RNA (329 nucleotides) under soil metagenome. RNAcentral's name for it is "partial contains 5.8S ribosomal RNA, internal transcribed spacer 2, and large subunit ribosomal RNA". The stretch from base 1 to 120 matches the Rfam family "5.8S ribosomal RNA", at positions 35 to 154 of the family's 154-position model. The record is from RNAcentral.
GAUGAAGAACGCAGCGAAAUGCGAUAAGUAGUGUGAAUUGCAGAAUUCAGUGAAUCAUCGAAUCUUUGAACGCACAUUGCGCCCCUUGGUAUCCCGAGGGGCAUGCCUGUUCGAGCGUCAUUUCACCACUCAAGCCUGGCUUGGUGUUGGGCGACGUCCCCUUUAGGGACGCGCCUCGAAACGCUCUGCGGCGCGGCACCGGCUUUAAGCGUAGCAGAAUCUUUCGCUUUGGAAGUCGGGGCCCCGCCUGCCGGAAUACCUACUUGUAAGGUUGACCUCGGAUCAGGCAGGGAUACCCGCUGAACUUAAGCAUAUCAAUAAGCGGAGGA